Molecule: ribosomal RNA, 440 nt
Filed under: uncultured bacterium
Lineage: Bacteria
Description: partial 16S ribosomal RNA
Rfam family: Bacterial small subunit ribosomal RNA
Source: RNAcentral
CCUACGGGAGGCAGCAGUAGGGAAUAUUGCUCAAUGGGGGAAACUCUGACGCAGCAACGCUGCGUGGAGGAUGAAGGUUUUCGGAUUGUAAACUCCUUUUGUUAGAGAAGAUAAUGACGGUAUCUUACGAAUAAGCACCGGCUAACUCAGUGCCAGCAGCCGCGGUAAUACGGAGGGUGCAAGCGUUAAUCGGAAUCACUGGGCGUAAAGAGGGCGUAGGCGGGAUAGCAAGUCAGAUGUGAAAUCCUAUGGCUUAACCAAAGAACUGCAACUGAAACUUUUAUUCUAGAGUAUUGGAGAGGUAGGUGGAAUUCUUGGUGUAGGGGUAAAAUGCGUAGAGAUCAAGAGGAAUACGCAUUGCGAAGGCGACUUGCUGGAACGUAACUGACGCUGAUGCGCGAAAGCGUGGGGAGCAAACAGGAUUAGAUACCCCUGUAGUC